Paramormyrops kingsleyae is the source of this 1043-nucleotide long non-coding RNA. RefSeq lists it as uncharacterized. The record is from RefSeq and is a predicted model, not a curated record. NCBI's taxonomy places the organism in Eukaryota, Metazoa, Chordata, Actinopteri, Osteoglossiformes, Mormyridae.
GACGAGAGCUUUGAGGGACUGGACAGCAGCGGGUUAGCUGUAUGAAGAUUAAACUGGACUUGGGAAGGAAGAAAUGAAAAUGACAUAAAACAAGCAAGUUUAUAUGGAAUCUAAUACUAAGUUUAACAGAGAAAUGACUAUUUACAAGACAAAUUUAUCCAGAAUGAAAAUAAAAUGCGAACUAUUAAAACGCGAACCUUACAGCACUAAGGAUUCACAUCAUCUUACCUGGUCUUUCUGAGGCUUCGGCAUCUGCUCGGUGGUUUUGGUUAUUCACUCAGAUUUCGCUUCCACGCAUCCCGCCUCAUUCACGUUUACACCGGAGCUUUUAUUGACGACCGCAUCACGGAGGCUUUCUGGAGAUGUAAUGGAGAAAUAAUGCCCGGCCGAAAUAUAUUUGUCGACCACACCCAGUUCCCGAAGCUGGCACCCAUCAAGCCACUCUAUACAUAAUGAAAGGAUCGGGGGUGGAUGGCUAUCUUUGGUUAUCUAGCUGUAUGAGUGUUAGUCAGUCAUCAUAAAGCUAGAUAACCGAAUGUAGAAAUUGCUCCCUAAUCUGCGCCUUACUUAAAAUGCAAAAACUCAGCGCCGAAGGACACCGCACGAAAACACCGCUCCAGGUGCAAUGCACAUCAGGCAGAGAGACCCCCGCCCCCCCCCCCCAUCUGAGUCACCGAGCUCAUCAUGGCAGCACAUGGAGACUCUCCAGGGGAAGCAGGCGGUGAACUGCAGCUCGGGGGUGUAUCCAGCAGGCUUUAGGGAGCUGUGGAGCAGACAAUAAAGUGCGGAAUCACUAGUGUUACAUGAAUUUCUUGGACUUGAUGCACUGGUGCAUGCUAGUGUGCAAUGAGGAUCAUUCUCACUUUUCUUACUUUGAAUUUUGAUUAAAAAAUUGAUCGUCUUCUGGAAUGAUAUAAUGGAGACCAUCUCCUUGAUAUGAAAAUGUUUAGAAUAUUAGCGGUUGUAUGGAUAUUUACAAAUGUUUUUGUACGUUAAGUUUUGAUUUCAGGGAAAAAAUAAAGCAUCAUUCACAUGCAUCCGAA